CAUUUUAAAGUCGCUCAGCAAGCUAUGGAAGGGGAUAGCUAUGUUAGGAGUUACUCUGAAGGAUAAGAUUCAAA
Long non-coding RNA from Maniola jurtina (meadow brown), 74 nucleotides. RefSeq lists it as uncharacterized. The record is from RefSeq and is a predicted model, not a curated record. NCBI's taxonomy places the organism in Eukaryota, Metazoa, Arthropoda, Insecta, Lepidoptera, Nymphalidae. The transcript is spliced from 4 exons.